RNAcentral lists this ribosomal RNA (326 nucleotides) under uncultured eukaryote. RNAcentral's name for it is "partial 18S ribosomal RNA". It matches the Rfam family "Eukaryotic small subunit ribosomal RNA", at positions 1470 to 1796 of the family's 1831-position model. The record is from RNAcentral.
CCCUUAGAUGUCCGGGGCCGCACGCGCGCUACAUUGACAGUAACAAAAAGUAUUUCUACCUUGUCCGAAAGGACUGGGAAAUCUUUGAAUUAUUGUCUCCACAGGGAUUGGGGUUUGUAAUUAUCCCCCAUGAACGAGGAAUUCCUAGUAAUCGCAGGUCAUUAGCCUGAGAUGAUUACGUCCCUGCCCUUUGUACACACCGCCCGUCGCUACUACCGGUCGAAUGGAUUAGUGAGGACCUCGGAUUGCAGUUUUACGGCGCAAGUCGUUUAAUUUGUGAAAAGUGGUUCAAACUUGUUCAUUUAGAGGAAGUAAAAGUCGUANCA